RNAcentral lists this long non-coding RNA (506 nucleotides) under Homo sapiens (human). RNAcentral describes it as "HSALNT0358216". The record is from RNAcentral. Lineage: Eukaryota; Metazoa; Chordata; Mammalia; Primates; Hominidae.
GAGAACCUUGAUUUCUGGCAAGUCUUGUAAAUGCGGCAAGAUGGUGUCUGCCUGAAUGGACAUUUCUACAUUAUUCUGGAAAGUAUAUUCAACACCUAGUGAGAUUUCAUCACUCUUUAUGAAAUAAGAACACAACCUAAUUUUCAAUUCCACAUUGCAUCACGAAGAAGUACUAAUUGGACAUGGAUGCACAUAUGAUGGAAAUCGCAGGGGCCAGAGACCUGGGCUGGAGCAAAUUGUGGUCUGGAUAUGAUUAACUCUAGAAAAUCUCAACUGUGGUUGCUGUCAUAAUUCCUAAUACCUGUAGUAUAAAAGAACUUUAUAAUAUCUGACUAUUUGGCAACCUCAGUGUUAAAUCUAAAGUUUGAGCAUGAGGUGGACCUAGUUAUGAACUUUUCACAGGUUGGGGUAAAUGAUAAAGAGAAACAUUUCUAGUAAAAAUACUAAAGCCCACAUCUGCUCUUUUCAGUUCCCACUUCCAACAAUCUAAUUCACUCUCUUGUCAA